CUUUGGCUUUCUCCUCUCCCUUGUCUCUCUUACGUCCACUCUCAAUUCAUAAACCGAAAAGGAAUCUAGCUUUAAAUUUUCUUCUUCUACGCUAGAAAAUUGAAAACAUUUUCAGUUUAGAUGUUUUUAUAUUUACUCAUAUUUACUAACCCUAAACCGAAUUGAAUCCACAUUUACUUUGCUUCUCCUGUAAACCAUGUCUUCACCAUUCAUUCUAAUGGCUUUCAUUUCUCUUUUACACUGAAUCAUUUAGAAGCUCUAGGGUUUUUGAGAAUUGAAAUUUUGGGGUUCUUUUUUUUUUUUUGGCAACUCCACUCUCUAGCCUCUAAUCUCUCCUUCUCUUGCAGAAACCUAGUCGGUAACUACAAUUCUUCCAUCUCAAGUGAGUCUCUUACGGUAUGAUUACUCUUUAGUAGGAUCUGCGGAAUCUGUUUUAAUGGUGGUGUUUUGAUGCAACAUGUUUGUUUGUCAUCCCGAAGAGUUACACUUGAAUUCUAUUAUGCAGCAAGGGAUGUUAUACUUCACUCUGCAAUCUCACUUUGCAAUUGGAAUCAUUAGAAGAUGGAAGAGUAUUUCUAAACCAAAGUUGAAAACCCAUGGUAUAUUAUGGAUGAUGUUAUUGUUGCUUGUUAAGCUGUGGAAUGUUAGAUAUUUGAGCUACUGAAAGGAUCAUGUAUCUAAUCAUGCAUCUUUGUAAGGAAAAUCGACAAUGAAUUAAAGAUUUGAGUCUCAUUCUUUCUA
Molecule: long non-coding RNA, 741 nt
Organism: Hevea brasiliensis (rubber tree)
Lineage: Eukaryota; Viridiplantae; Streptophyta; Magnoliopsida; Malpighiales; Euphorbiaceae
Exons: 2
Source: RefSeq, a predicted model, not a curated record